UCGGGUAUGGUGUAACGGUUAACAUUGCCGCCUCUCAAGCGGUUCCGGUUAUUGCGCGGCAGCUCGGGGUUCGAUUCCCCGUACCCGAA
Molecule: transfer RNA, 89 nt
Filed under: Laccaria amethystina LaAM-08-1
Lineage: Eukaryota; Fungi; Basidiomycota; Agaricomycetes; Agaricales; Hydnangiaceae
Rfam family: tRNA
About the family: Transfer RNA (tRNA) molecules are approximately 80 nucleotides in length. Their secondary structure includes four short double-helical elements and three loops (D, anti-codon, and T loops).
Source: Rfam by way of RNAcentral